RNAcentral lists this long non-coding RNA (1046 nucleotides) under Mus musculus (house mouse). Its description in RNAcentral is "long non-coding RNA chrX:146264951-146265997". The record is from RNAcentral. Lineage: Eukaryota; Metazoa; Chordata; Mammalia; Rodentia; Muridae.
CUCUCCAUAAUGCUCAUGCUAUUGACCACACAAGUUUUCACUAUCUUGACUAUUCAGUUCUUUGUUUUUAAAUCCUGCUGUUUGUAGAAUCAGAUAUUUAGUAUAAUUUUGAAAAUUCAUCUCAGAAAGUUGACGACCUUCCAUCAAGAUUUGGUUUGGUUAUAAACUACUAACUGAAGGUUUAAGUGAUUUUUAAAAAAUAAUUCAAACCAGAGAAUACGGAUGAAUAAACAUUUUUGCCACCAUCAAACAAAAAUUCAUCUGACACAUUAGAAAGCUUGAUUAUAGUUCUGAAAUACAGACUUUAGAAGCAGACAAAACAUAAUUCAAAGCACUAAUAGUUCACAAUGUUGAUUCCAAUGACCUCAUUAGCACAGAAUCCAAGAACAUUGAUGUGUUAAAGAAAAUUUACUAUCCAUCUGUCCUUAUUAGUGAAUCAUGAGAUAAUUGCCUUAAUGAUGAAUUUACAAAUGAAAAGUUUCACAACAUUUCAAUUCUAAAUUAAUUCUUUGAGAAUAGUAUCUAAUUCUUUUCCUCAUACUAGUGGACAUUUACCAAUCUGCAUAGUCACUUCUAUGACUUCAGAAAGACAGAGAUUAAAAAGGAACUCGUUAGACAUCAACUUAAAAGAUUCUUCAUAUACAUAUGGAUAUAAAAUGAAAACAAGAUCAAAAUCUUUCCCUGUUCACGUUCAUAUUCAACGGUAUAGUUCUUCAACAGAACUGAAGCCAAAUGUACCCAUCUGAUAUGAAAACAAAAACUGCUUCUCACAAUGUCUUUGACUCUGACACAGACAGCAGCUAUGAAAAGAAAAACCUUUAGAACACACAACUUUACACAGACCUCUAGUGUCUAUCAGUUCCCAGUCAUUUGAAAUUUUGUUAGAAUCUCUCUCAUUUCUGAAUAUUCUAGGGUCUUCAGAUUGUAAAGAAAACAACAAAGUUACUGAGAAAUGGGUUAGAAAGCAAAGUUAAUGAAUAUGGUGUUGUAUUUCUAAUGCAGCCCAAUGCUUAAUCAGACUGUAAUUCUGAACAAAUACUGUUUAA